This 305-nucleotide ribosomal RNA is filed under the name uncultured bacterium. RNAcentral's name for it is "partial 16S ribosomal RNA". It matches the Rfam family "Bacterial small subunit ribosomal RNA", at positions 508 to 807 of the family's 1533-position model. The record is from RNAcentral.
ACAGCAGUCGCCGCGGUAAUACGUAGGGUGCGAGCGUUAAUCGGAAUUACUGGGCGUAAAGCGCGCGCAGGCGGUUAUAUAAGACAGAUGCGAAAUCCCCGGGCUCAACCUGGGACCUGCAUUUGUGACUGUAUAGCUAGAGUACGGUAGAGGGGGAUGGAAUUCCGCGUGUAGCAGUGAAAUGCGUAGAUAUGCGGAGGAACACCGAUGGCGAAGGCAAUCCCCUGGACCUGUACUGACGCUCAUGCACGAAAGCGUGGGGAGCAAACAGGAUUAGAUACCCGCGUAGUCCCUGUCUCUUAUAC